CUGGCUCAGGAUGAACGCUGGCGGCGUGCUUAACACAUGCAAGUCGAACGGAGAUAUCGGCUUCGGCUGGUAUCUCAGUGGCGGACGGGUGAGUAACGCGUGGGUAACCUGCCUUACACCGGGGGACAACAGUUGGAAACGACUGCUAAUACCGCAUAAGACCACGGAGCCGCAUGGCCCUGGGGUAAAAGAUUUAUCGAUGUAAGAUGGACCCGCGUCUGAUUAGCCAGUUGGCGGGGUAACGGCCCACCAAAGCUACGAUCAGUAGCCGACCUGAGAGGGUGAUCGGCCACAUUGGGACUGAGACACGGCCCAAACUCCUACGGGAGGCAGCAGUGGGGAAUAUUGGGCAAUGGGCGCAAGCCUGACCCAGCGAACCGCCGCGUGAGUGAAGAAGUAUUUCGGUAUGUAAAGCUCUAUCAGCAGGGAAGACAAUGACGGUACCUGACUAAGAAGCACCGGCUAAAUACGUGCCAGCAGCUGC
RNAcentral lists this ribosomal RNA (484 nucleotides) under uncultured bacterium. RNAcentral describes it as "bacterial SSU rRNA". It matches the Rfam family "Bacterial small subunit ribosomal RNA", at positions 19 to 518 of the family's 1533-position model. The record is from RNAcentral.